This 40298-nucleotide long non-coding RNA is filed under the name Ananas comosus (pineapple). Its description in RNAcentral is "long non-coding RNA (ACOM_LNC011535)". Lineage: Eukaryota; Viridiplantae; Streptophyta; Magnoliopsida; Poales; Bromeliaceae. The record is from RNAcentral.
UCAAACAGAACUUACCGAAAUCCGUCGGUUCAAUUCAGUUCUAAAAGUUGAAAACCAAAAAAACCGAAUAAACCGAACAAAUUAACCGACAUUUUAGUGAUUAUAUAUAUAUAUAUAUAGAAUUAGGCUGGAAUACUAUUAAUAGUAAAACGCUCUUUUUGCUAUCAAAUUUUUAACCCUUGGAUGAAAAAUUGUAGGGCCAUGAUGAUAUUAGUCGGUUAGAGUUGAGUGAUCCCCCUAGGGUUGAGUGGUCCCCACUGGGUUAUAGUAUUUAAUCCAAUGGUUAGAAAUUAUGAAAAGAGUUGAUCCAAAGGCUAAAAAACUGGUAGCAAUAAUGGGAUUUUGCUACUAAUAGUAGCCCAGUCCAACUCUAUAUAUAUAUAUAUAUAUAUAUNCUUUCGAAUCGUCGAUCGGCUCCAUUAAACUUGAUCUAGAGUAUUUGAAAUAUCUAGAAAAUAAAUUUUAUGAUUUUACGAUAUUAUUUGCCUAGCGAACGAAUGGGCUCCAAAUCAACGGCUGAAAAUAAAAAUCUUACAAAAUAUAAUAAUAUGAUAUUAAAAUUUUAAAUCAAAGAUAUUGAUCUUGUUUUAUAUAGUAUAAAGAAUUUUCUAUCAAAAUUUCACGUAAUUUGAAUAUUUCUACACCGUUAAACUUGUAAACGGCUCACUACGGCCAUUGAAAUUUAUUGAUUUUGAGCCCAUUCGAUCACUAGGCAAAUGAUAUCGAAAAAUAAUAAAAUUUAUUUUCUAGGUACUCCAAAUACUCUAGAUCAAGUUUAACGGAGCCGAUCGAUGAUUCGAAAGUCGCAACAUCGAAAGCGAGCUGGAAGCACGGAAGGCUCUGUGCUUCCGAUAGCAUAAUAGCCUCACACUCUCUCUCUCUCUCUCUCUCUCUCUCUCUAUAUAUACAUAUAUAUAUAUAUAUAUAUAAAAUUAGACUAUUAUACUAUCUAUAGUACCGGAGCUCCGGUACUAUAGUCUUAUUUUCGAUUUUACGGUAUUCAAAUUAACGAUUCACACUGUUAAAUAUGAUUUAGGGUAUAUGAAGUUCUUAUGAAUAAAAUUUUAAUUUUUUUCGACAUCGUUUACUUAGUAAAUCAAUUAUGUCAAAAUGAACUGUGAAAAUUGAAUAAUCUUUGAAAUUUGAGUAUAGAACUUUUAAAUUCAAAAUAAAAAAUGUUAAUCUUAAUCUAAAUAGUUCAAAGUAUUUUCUAUCAAAAUUUCUUCUACAUUGCUAAACUCCAAACUCGUCAUAGUAGCCGUUGAAAAUUGACAAUUUUGAAAUGAUUUGAUCAUAGAGUAAACUAUGUCGAAAAAAUAUAAAAUUUUAUUUCUAAAAACUUUAAAUACCCUAAAUUAAUUUUAACGGUAUGGAUCGUUGAUUUGAAUACCCUAAGAUCGAAAAGGGGACUAUAGUACCGGAGCCCCGGUACUAUAGAUAAUAUAGGAGACUAGCUCUAUAUAUAUAUAUAUAUAUAUAUAUAUAUAUAUAUAUAUAUAUAUAGUCCGGCUGGGGUACUAUUUAUAGCACCAAAAAUUUGGUGCUAUCGAGUUUUUCACCGAUUUAACCUUUUGAUUAUUUUUACCCGUUAGAUUAUAUUAUUCAACCAACCACUCACUCAACCCUUGAGGGCCCACGUCAUCCUAACCAUUUAUUUCUCAAUCCAAGGACGAAAAAAUAAUAGCACCAAAACAAAAAUAUGUUUUAAUUUUAAAUACAAUCAAAUAAUUAGAGAUAUUAAUUAUUAUUAUCUUGGAUUAAUAAUUUUUAACAUAAAAUUUAUCAUGAUUAUAUCUAAUUUUUAGUAUUUUAAAAAUAUUUAAGCUAAAUAAAAAUAUUUUAUUAAAGUUAAAUAAAUCGAAUCGAACCCAACCAACCGAUGCUCACCCGUAGAUGAAGCAGGGUCAAACGGUUAAUUAGGCCUUUGGGUGAUGUAAAAAGUAAAAUUUUGGCCCUUAUAAAGGCCCAAUUGAGGCUCUUUGUUGGGCCAAAUGUGUACGUUAAGUUAUUUUGGGCCCCUACCUUUUCGGGCUAUUUUGUUACCCAGUGCGUGGGUCCAAAUAUGAUGGGAUAAUUUUUUAUUUUUUAUUUUUUUUUUCGGAAUUUCUAUUUGCGAUUUUGCCAUUUCAUUUCAUUUCAUUUCCAGCGGUAACGGUGGUAGCUCCUGCUCCAUAGCACGAAGGCCGAAUCCAAAACCCUAACCCUAGGUGGAAGAGAGAGCGAGAGAGAGCGAGAGAGAGAGAGAGAGAGAGAGAGAGCCAUGGCCGAAGGAGGCGGUGGAGGAGCGUCGCUGAAGGAUCAGGGCAAUGAGUUCUUCAAGGCCGGGAACUACUUGAAAGCGGCGGCGCUCUACACGCAGGCGAUCAAGAUGGAGCCCAACAAUCCCACCCUCUACAGGUUUUUUUUUUUUUUAUAUUUCUUUGACAUUUUUGGUUUCGAUCCAUAGAAAUCAUAUCAUCACCUGAGCUCUUGUUAGAUAUUUAUUUUUUAGUAUAAUUUUGAUGUACUUCGAAACCCUAGAUUUGAUGUCUCUUGCGGAACGCAUAACACUGUUUGAGGAUGUAAAAUUUUUUUUUUUUUUUUUGUGAUAAAUAUGCUGAAGCAUUGAUAGGUUACUGGGAGAAGGAGAAUCUGAGCUCACUGUAGCAUUUUUUUUAUUUUUAUUUGUUAAUUGGAAAGCUCAUCUUUGAAAUAUUUAGGAGUGGUGUGAAUUUCCCAACUAAUUGGAGAUAUAAUCAAAUUGCAUCUCAAGAUGGUAGAAAAAGAGACAAUUCAAACGAGUCUCGACAAAAUUUGCAUUUCAGAUAAAGCGCGCUUAAAAGCUGUAUUAAGUACGAUUUCACUUAUAUGUGGUGUCCUUUAACCUAGUGACAAUAGUCCUCGGUAAUCAAUAUACCCAUGCAAAUGCAAAUUGGCACGUCAGCGCAUCUAUUUCUUUUUGUGUUACUACCAAUUCUUUAUUUGGGGUUCAGUUUAUGUUAAACUUGUUACACAUUACUUCCAGAAUCUCGUGGAUUUUAUGUUAAAAAUGUUCUAUCAUUGGUUUGCAGCAAUCGGGCUGCUGCAUUUCUGCAUUUGGUUAAACUCAAUAAAGCGCUUGCUGAUGCUGAGACAACAAUUACUCUUAACCCCCAGUGGGAGAAGGUAUGUAUAGAUCAUGAGAAGUUGCGUUCAUAUUUUCAGCUUAUGCUUUGAAAUAGACAUCAAGUCAGGCUGACUGAUUUUAUCUUUUUUUACUUUUUGAGCCGUUAUGUUAAUUAGCUGUUUAUUUUAUGCAAUGUAGGGUUAUUUCAGGAAAGGCUGUAUUUUGGAGGCAAUGGAACGCUAUGAUGAUGUAAGAACUCACAUUAUAUUUUUAUUAGUUCUUUUUACACUACUGGAUCUCGUAUUACUGGUGCAUGUCUUUGAUACUGGAUAAGUUGCUCUAGUAAGCCCCAUGGAGCAAUGUAACUCAAAAGCUGCUCCAAUAUAUUGUGCUUCUCUUCCUUUAAUUAGAACAGUCCUCUUAUUGUAUAUCCUGGUGUGUCCAUUAUGCAGGCUAUAGCUGCUUUCCAACUGGCUUUGCAGUACAAUCCACAGAGUGUGGAAGUUUCCAAAAAAAUAAAAAGGCUCUCUCAAUUAGCCAGAGAUAAGAAACGGGUUCUUGAAGUAGAAAGUAUGAGAUCGAGCAUUGACAUUGCAAAAUACUUGGAACCUUUGAAAUCUGAACUGGUGAGUUGAGGAUUAUUGCAAUCUUUGUGUUUAUUAGGCAAUUUUAGACAGACAACUCUGAUGAACUUUUUUCAAAAAUCAACUGUAUAUUAAAUCUGAUUCGUUCCCAAUAUUUUAGGAAAAUCAUGAAAAAUGAGUGAGCACAGCAGUUACAAAGAAGUUUGCUAUUCUGUCGAGCUAACAUUGAUUUCAUGCUAUUGCUUGUAGUCUGCAAAAUGUGGAGAUGCGGAAGUAUCUCAAUGUAUCUUCUCUUUUAUUGUUGAAGUCAUGGACACGGCCGUCAAAGUUUGGCAUGAAACUGCUAAGGUGGAUGCCAGGGUCAAUUUUCUUCUCGAUAAGCAGAAGACUCAGACUGAUAAAUAUGCUCCGGUAGUCAAUAUUGAUAAGGUACAAUAUUGUUGUUAAUCAUCCAUCUUGAGUAUUGUAUAUUGAUGUAUUUUUCAUGUGACUAAAAUCAUCAUAGUGAUGUGCUUGAGAGUCAUGAAUAAACUCCAAAUCAAGCAUUGUAAUUAUAGUUCCAUAUAUUGUCAAAAAUAAAUUAUAUUCAUAUGUUGACUUUUCUUUGUAAUUAUGAUUGCAGAUCUUGUUAAAAUUGUAUGUAGGUAUUGACUUUUCUUCUCGUCUUUCAUUUUGCUAGGCUUUCGAGUCCCCUCACACGCACAGCAGUUGUUUCUCAUAUUUGAGGCAAUAUGCAGAGGAGUCAUUUUCCAAAGCUGCUUGCUUGGUAGCGCCCAAAAGCAUUAUAUCGUAUCCUCAGGUGGGCUUUAUAGCUUGCACAUUUUUUAAAUUAUGUAUGUUUCUUAAUGUAUUACCAUUAUUAGUUGCGGUGUCCUGGUCUUUUGUCACGAUUUAGGACCAAAAUUUUUAAAACAAUAUGAUAUGCUUGCAUAAAAUUUUAUUAUCAUAGUUAUUUCUGCAAUUUUUUAUAUUCUUCUUAUACAACAUAACAGUGAAUCAUUAUAAGAAAUUAAGAUUCAAGAGUAAUUUUACUAUUUGUCUGCUUCUGCAGGUUUGGAAAGGGCAGGGAUCAAGAAAGUGGAAGCUUGGGCAGAGUGAUGGUUUCUUUGUUCAGUUUGAAUCACCUUUCAUUCGUAAGCUGUGGUUUGUUCCUAGUUCAACCGAAAAAGGUCGGACCUUGUGCAGGUAAUUCUCCUCUUACCAAUACUAAGGCUAGGCCAUUUUUAGUUCUCUUCAUGAAUUCUGUGUUGCCCUAUGAUUAAUCCAUGAAAACAUUAAGGAUACUAAGUUUGGUUUCUUUGUAUAUGGAAUUGUUGCACUUUUGUUGCCUUAAAUAUGUUCCAAAUUUGUCCUUACUGACAAAAUCAGAAGUUUGCUAUUUCAAAAGUAAUAAUUACCUGUUGAAGCUUUGGGUUUCUUAUAAUAGUUCUUGACAAACGAGUAUUGUGGCAUUUAAAUUUCUUACAAUCCUUAUGUGGAACAUUUGAUGUCUACUGCUUUUUGAUGAGAAACUUGAACUAUACUAUCUUGUUUAAGGAAUCCGGAGCCUUUGGAUAUCAGUGCCCACGAAGUGCUUCCUCGUCUAUUCAAAGAGCCUGCUUCUGAUGCCAGAUAAUCCUUUAUUGCCGUUUAAUCGACGGUCAAUAGUGGAUUAAACGUUUGAUCAUACCUCAAGGGGUUUUUUUUGGUUACGUUAUUGAAGGUACUUGAGAUUUUUUUGUAACAUUAAUGUAACGAAUUUUGUUUUGCUGGCCAUUCUAACUGUUUCUUUUGUGAGGUUUUGUUGUACAUGGUAAAAACGAUUAUCUUUUAGCCUUCGUUCCUAGGCAUGUAAUGUGAGCUUUUGUUGGUUGCCUGAAGUGUACUGUUAGGAGGUAACUGUUUUAUUUGUAUUUCUUUGGGUUUGGUGGUCCACUUUUUUUUUGAUGAGAAUGAUUACAUGCUUCAUUAAGAACAUAAUCGAUAAUUAUUAUGUAUUUGUUUUAAUGGUUUGGUUUGAUAAGGUUCCAUUUCUUUUUCUCUUUUAAUCUGUAGUAAGCUAAACUAGAGUUGGCAUAGACAAUGCUUUAAAGAGCAUUGUGAGGUCCCUUUAGUUUUCUUAUAAAAAGGAUGUUGUUGAGAUGUAUUACUUAUCAGAGUUUCUGAAAAUGCUCUUACUGCAGAGUUGGUCUACUUGUAUGUUCAUCAAAGGAGCAUUGUGAGCCUCAAUUUUUUGUUCUUCAUGCAAUGACUGUUGCAGUAGAGGGGUUGAUGGGAUGGAGAGAGGCUCAAAUUUUGAAUAUCAUGUGAAAGAGAUGUUUACGAUUCCGCGUCAUUGGUUUUGAGACAUUGGUUUUGAGAGAGGUUUAAGAUUCGGUGUCAUUGUUUAACCUUUUUCCAGCAGAAGCAACGUAAAAGCUUUGAUUUAACCUCAUCACCUUGCCAUUGCUUUCCGAAUUAUUGAGAAAUUGUUGUAUGUACCGUUGUUUUCGAUGGAUCAGAGUCUCUAGAGCUUAAUUUUAGAAAGGUUGUGAUAGAACUGUUGCAGUCAAUAUGCUGAACAUGCUGAGAAAUUAUUCUGAUCUUACUCAUGUUCUAUAGAUUCUACUUCAUGAACUCCUAUCUGUAUCUUCCACUCGUUUUCUCCAUAAAUUACCAUCACUGUCUAGCAUAGUUGCUUGAUAUCUUGGAUCGCCUAUCAAACGAUAUCUGCACGUGCAGUUAACCACUUGCGUAAAUAAAUUACUUGUCUAAUUAUUAUACCUAAUAUUUGAUGUUACGCCUGGUUUGGUAUUAUGUUUAUUGUUUAAUAAAUUAUACUGUUUAAAAGUCUUAUCUUACAAGAAUCAUAUAUUUUAAAAAUUUUAUUAUUUAAAAAUUAAGUAGUUUUAAAAUUUGAUCAUAAAAAAUUAAGCAAUCCUACCGACAACACAUUCUAAAGUAAGAUGUACUUUUUGUGAAUUUUAGAAUGGGGACAUAAGAUGUACGUCUCAUUUUGAAAUGUAUGGAUAUAAAUUUUUUUUAAAAAAUACUAUUAUUUAACUUGUAAAAAUUCAUAAUUUUAAUAUGUUUAGUUUAGUAAUAAUAAUAAUAAAUAUCAUUAAGCAACAAUUUCUCCUCACUCGCUGCUCAGUCCCUCUCCUGUCCUCUUUCUCUCUCCUCUUGGAUUUUUUUUUUUUUUUUUUUUUUUUUUUGCCUGCAACUGAGAAUUUUUUUUAAACUUUGAAAACCCCCCAUCAUCUCCACCUUUUUAGCCGCUUGCCGCCACACACACACACACACACACACACACACACUCUCUCUCUCUCUCUCUCUCUCUCUCUCUCUCUCUCUACGCAAUAAAAAAUGGCGUCGAAAGAAGCAGAGGAGACAACCUCUCCACCUCCUCCGUUCUCAUCUCGUCCAAGAACCCUCUCCGAUGGCGGAUACCGGAUUUAGGAGCCCUCGCCGCGAGAUCUCGGAUUGAGUGGUUCGCGUCUCGAUCUCUUUCUCUCUCUGCUUCGUUUCGCGCAAGAUUUGUGCGGAUUUAACGCGAAUUCGGAGGUUUUGGUUCAAGAAUCCUCUUUAGAUCGCAACUAGAUGUCUUGGAUUGAGAUUGCCGUGUGCAAUGUGUGUGGGUUUAACAUGUAAUUUGGGGUGUUUCUCGCAAGAAACCUCUGUAGAUUCGAACUAGAGGUCUCGGAAUCAGAGGUACUCGUUUUGAUCUCUUAUUUGUGCUACGCCAUGUGCGGUGUGCGUUUGUGUGUGGAUAUAGCACGGAUUUCUGGAGUUCUGUUGCAAGCAACCUAUCUAGAAUUGAUCUAGAAGUAUCGGAUUCAGAUGUACUCGUUUUUGAUCUCAUCUGCCUGCUUUAAAUGUACAGUGUUUACUUUGGUGUGCGCUUGCAAGGAACUUCUCUAGAUUUGAACUAGAGUUACUAGGGUUGAGAGGUACUCAUGUUGAUCUCUUCUUUAUGCUCUAUCGAGUGCAAUGUGUGUGGAUUUUAGACGAACUCGGGGGGUUUAAUAAAAGAAAUCUCUCUAGAUCAGAGCUAGAGGCCUAGAUUGAGAGGUUCCGGGGUUGAUUUCUUCUCUCUGCUUCAAAUGCACAGUUUAUGGGGUUUCAACGCAUAUUUUGGGUUUUUUCUUGCCAGCCACCUCUCUAGUUCAUAAUUGGAGGUCUCGUAUCGAGAGAUGCUUGCUGUGAUCGCUUCUUUCUGUUUUACCAUGCUCAAUUUGUGUGAAUUUAGGUUUUCUUUCGAGCAACCUCUUGUUUUUGGGUUUACAUUGCUAGUUGGGACUUGGGAGGUUGUGAUCACAAUCUUGUCCAAUCCAGUGCACUGACCGAGUUCAAAUGCGGAUUGUAGCUCAAAUCAAACACAUUUGGCUUUUCAUACUUUCGGAGGCAUCUUUUAACACUUUGCAGUUUUCACCACUGCAAAGUGUGGGCGUGGAGGGCCUUUUUCUUAUUCGAGUUUUCUGACAAAUUACACUAACAAUUUUAUCAGAUUUUCCUAGAAUUUUUUUGACUCUUGAUAUUGGCAGGUUUUAAAGGAAAAUUCUGAAAGAUGGAUCAGUAUGAGGUUUUGGAGCAGAUAGGGAAAGGAGCAUUCGGUUCCGCUCUUCUAGUCAGGCAUAAGGCUGAGAAGAAGAGGUGCUGGGGCUCACUAUUUGUAACCCUACUUUGGGUUUCAUUAUUUCCUCCCAUUUUCUCCUCCUGUUAUUAUUUUUGUGUUUCGGUUAACAAUUUCAAGCUGUUGCAGGUAUGUGUUGAAGAAGAUCCGCCUUGCUCGUCAGACAGACAGAUGCCGCAGGUCUGCUCACCAAGAAGUAAGAAUCUCGUCUGAAUUAAUUUUCUUUGCGGACAUAUUUACAUAUAUACCUCUCUAAAUUAUCUAUUCGCAGACUAAUGUUCUCAAAACUUAUGUUCUUAGAUAUAUCUAUCCUUGACCAUACAACUUUGCCGUAUGAUCAUAUGACCCCCAACUUAAGAUAAGGGUAUUUUUAUGAGGAAUUGCACUUUCGAGGGGCAUGAAUGAAAUUCAGUUUUUACAUAGGUAUAUAAUAUAAUAAAUUAUUUUGACAUCUUAUUGCCAUAUUAUUAUACUUGGUCUAAGGUUACUAGCUACUUGUAUAUAUUAGAUGCAAUCCUGUUUGGACUUUUUUGACUUUGUAGGCUGAUGCAGGUUGCCGGUCAGAUGUUUAUGCUUUGUCAUUUUGAUGCUUAUGCAGUCUACUGGCCUAGCAACUGUUUUUCUUUUAACAUAAUUUUUCAUUAGAAGAGCUGUAGUGAUUGGAACUGCUUGUUCUGUAAUUAUUAUUCUGCUAUAUAUAAAAUGAAUAUUUUAGGAUACUUUAGAUGGUACAGCGACUUUAUGAACCAAAAGUGUUAAUCAGAUAUUCUUAUUAUCCAUUCCAUGUCUGAAAGAUAAUUUUUUUCUUGUGCAGAUGGAGCUCAUUUCUAAAGUGAGAAACCCAUUUAUCGUGGAGUACAAAGAUUCGUGGGUGGAGAAGGUUGCACAUAGACCUUCAAUCAUUGGCUUUGUUUAUAGAUUUCUUUGCAACUCGACAGCUUUGCAAUUCAAAAUUCACAGUAACUUUACAUAAUGAUAUGAACCUAAUCAAUUCCAAGUAUGUGUGUUUUACUUGUUUCAAUUCAAUGCUCAAAAUGUGCCUGCGCAUCACUAAGACUUUUUAGUAAAAAGAAUAAUGUUCUUAAAGUCCUUUUUUUUUUUUUUGCAAUCUCCGUUUUUCUUCAUUUAUUUCAAAGAAAGGUAUAUAAAUCUUUCUACUGUCUUGUCUUGAUUACAGGGUUGCUAUGUGUGCAUUAUAAUAGGAUAUUGUGAGGGAGGAGACAUGUAUGUAUCUUUCUGAGGUGAAAUUCACUUUCGUACCUAUAGGUCCUUUUCUGAUGAUUGGAGUCUUAUGUUCAGAUUUACAACCUCUCCUUUGUUUGUACAGGGCUGAAGCAAUAAAAAAGGCCAAUGGAACUCAUUUCCCUGAAGAGGUUGCUUUAACAUUAUUACAUUGUUUUUUCUUGGUCAAGCAUUUAGCAUCUAAAUUGAAUUUCCGUGGCCACGCAUUUAGCAUCUAAAUUUGUUAUUUAUUCUGAAUUGAGAGUUUUCUUUUGUUUUUUCAUUUAUCUGUCAGCAGAUGCUCUGUAAAUGGCUUGUACAGCUCCUCAUGGCACUUGAUUAUUUGCAUGCAAAUCACAUUCUUCAUCGUGAUGUGAAGGUUGGUGAUAGUUUUGCCACUAGUUGGGGUAUUAUCAAGUUUUUCUUCAUGAAAGUAAAUUGCACCAAGCGUCCUCAACAUUUAGAAUUGUUUUAGUUUGGUUCCUAAUCUUUAAAUUGUUACAAUUGAACCCCGAACAUUUGCAAUUUGUUAAAUUUCUACAGCUAAUUGGAAGAAAUAUCCGGAUAGUAGUUAUCUAAUUGCCAUGUAAUUGACUUUUGGAUUUCUUACACGGUGAUUACAUGGGCAUAUUCAUUCAAGUUAAUUAAGGAAUUUAACCAAAAGAAUAAGAUUGUGAAAAAAAUGCAGAGGUUAGGGACCAAACUGUGACUGUUGAAAAGGUUGGGCCAUGCUGAAACCUCAACUAGUUGGGGGACCACUGGAGCAGUGUACCCAAUUUCAUGUAUAAAGCUUUAAAGUACUGUUUGCUGAAGCCUUACGAUAUUUGUCUCAGUGCUCCAAUAUAUUUCUGACAAAAGAUCAAAACAUACGGCUUGGUAAGUCACCUUCUCUUUGCAUGGUGAACCAUAGCUCGCAAUCUUGAAUGCCUUCACUGAUCAUAGACAUUAAACAUUUUAGAUUUAUGAAAAAUGUACAGGUGAUUUUGGCCUGGCUAAAAUAUUGACAUCAGUCGAUUUGGCUUCCUCGGUAAGUUCUCAACCAGUCUAGCAAGUCUUUUAGAGAUUCAUCCAUUGCUUUCGCACUGAUUAAUUCACAAUGCAGGUUGUGGGAACUCCUAGCUACAUGUGCCCCGAAAUUCUAGCUGAUGUACCUUAUGGUUCUAAGUCUGAUAUCUGGUCUCUCGGUAUAGUAUAUCUUAGUAUAUGAGAGAGUAUCUUAAAUUAUCUUGAAGUUUUGGAUUUCUGUCCUUAAUUGCUUCAUUUAUCUAGGAUGCUGCCUAUAUGAAAUGACUGCUCUCAAGCCAGCAUUUAAAGCUUUUGUGAGUUGAACCAGCCCUUAUCUUUUUCAAUAUUUAACUGGUUUCCACUUUUGCCAUUCCUUACAUUUUGCUACCAGAUAUAGUGGAUCGAUUCUAGAUAUCAUAUUUCACUAAGUUUUGAGGUUUGUGGAAAUCGAGUUGCGCUGAUUGAGUAUUGGCAGGUUCAUCGUUCUAAUUUUGGUGGGUUAGUGAUUUCGUUUCAGGAAUCUCUAUUUUUGGCUGGGGGAUAACCACAAUGGCACGUUUAAAAUAUGUUGAAAGUUUGAAACUAUGUUUGUAUUAUGACUUCCUAAAUUGUCUGAUGACCCAAGGUACUGAGGGUGUCUAAAUAUAGGUUCAUAAACUGCACCCCAAAGUGCAAAAGUGUAAACUCAUGAAUAAAUGUUAUCCUCAAAAAGGACAAGUUUGUAAACUCAUGUAUAAAUGUUAUCCUCAAAAAGGACAAGUUUUUGCCUUUGAAAGUGUAGAUACGUAUAAUCAAUUGAUAAAGUGCUUUUUAUAGUAACAUAUUUUUGGGUUAAUUUCCUUAGUACCCUUCCAUCUACCCUUAAUUUCAUAGAUACCCUUAAAAAUUGUCAAUAUUAAAAAUACUCUUUUAGUUUCAUCAAACUAUCCAAAUUAUCCUUAUUAAUUAACUCCGUUUAAAAUUUGACUGUUUGCCCGUUUUGCCCAUGGAGCAUUUUAGGGUUUAGUGUUUAGGAUUGUAGGGCUUAGGGUUUUAGGGUUUUAGGAUUUUAGGGUUUUUAGGGUUUAGGGGUUUUUUUGAGUUUUAGGAUUUUAGAGUUUUUAGGUUUUUAGGAUUUUAGGUUUUUAGGGUUUAGCGUUUCUUAGGGUAUUAGGGUUUAGGGUUUAGGAACGUGGGCAUUGAGAUCUGAUUAGCAAGUGGGUGCAAAAUAAUUUCACGAGUCUUUCACGGUAGCCAAAAUAUUAUCUAUUACUAGGCUAAAAAGGGGCAAAUUAGUCAUUUUUUGUUUUAAUUCAAGUAAAAUUUUUUGCUAACCUGUGUUAACUAGACGUUUUUUAACGGAUGUCCGUGGAGAGGGUUUUUAUGAUACUAUUUAUGGAUUUAGGGGCAAUGCGGGUAUUGACAACCUCAAAGGGGCAUUUGUGAUAUUUUUAAAGUUUUGAGUGGCAUGUUUGAAAUUGCCCUUGUCUAUCUUGUUGCUUUUUAUAACAAUAUAGAUGUGGCAGGUUAUUCUAUUUGUAUUGGAAAAUUUAUGUUUGUGGAUAUCUUAAUUUGUGUCAACUAAUCUGCUGUGUUGUACAUAAAUGCUGUGUAAAGUACCUAGUUGGGAUAUUUUUAAUGCUAAUUCUUUUUUUCACUCUCUUGUUACCUAAGAUGGAAAAUUGAUCAUUGUAUAUUUCCCUCUCUAGGACAUGCAAACUCUGAUAAACAAGAUUAACAAGUCUAUCGUGGCUCCUCUACCAACUACCUUUUCUGGUGCAUUGUACGCUUUUUCCCUUGUACAUUUCCAUGCUUUGUUAGCUCCUUUUCGAUUCAUUCUUUCACAUCAACCUUUAUUACAACUCUUAGUUCUUUCAUGCAGUAGGGGACUCAUUAAGAGCAUGCUGCGUAAAAGCCCCGAACAUAGGCCAAGUGUAUGUACUCAUCAAUGCAAUUUAUUUCUCAUUUUUGGCCUUUUCUUUUGCGUGCAUAUCAGCUUGCAUCUUUAUAAGUUAGUUAAUGUUUAUGUACAUAUUUUUCCCCUUAACUAGGCUGCGGAACUGCUCAAGUAUCCACAUCUUCAGCCUUAUGUCCUUCAAGUCCAUUUGAAGUCUAGUCCUAUUCGCAAUAUGAUUCCUAUCGAAUCCCCUGCUAGAAAUACUGUAAAGAAGAUUAGAUUUCCCGAUGAUGAAGAUGAUUAUGCAGGCAAGGAUAAAAGGGAUUCUUUUGGGAGUGAGAAAAUUGUCAAACUUACCAGACCUUCUAGUGAGAGAGAUUUGCGGAGGUCGACUCUAACUUUAAGAGAUCGUUCUUGUUCUACAAACCAAAUAAUCAGAGAAAUGUCUAUUGAAAGUAAGGCAAUCAAUGAGAAGCCUGCAACUUUUGCUAAAACGCCUCAAAAUACUCCAACCAAGGCCUUCACUACUCCUAGGAGGCGACUGGAGCCCUCAAGAACAGUUCAUACCAGAACAAUUCGUCAAGAGGUACGACCGCACACCAUUAUGAUAUCAUUGUUUCGACUAGUGCUCAUGAAUAGUUGCCAACUUGUAGCAUCGAUGCUGCUAGUUUUAUGUUUUUUCUUUUUUUUUAGUCCAUAUGGGUUAUGUUGGUCUACUUAAUGUUGAUAUCUAAAGAUUUUAUCUUUCUAAACAAAUUAUUCUUUUUUACAUAUCUCCCGUCAAGGAUCUGAUUCUUUAUACUAUCCUGUAGAAAUCGUUCGUGUUUCUGACUAUUGAUAUUACCUGGAGAUAAUGUGCUAAUAUCUACUCUCAAUUAACUUUGCUACAAAUAGGAUGAGACUCAUUUGUUCUGCAUUCCUGUGCAUUUCACUUCCAGCUGUCCCACCUGUCAAGAGCACCUGCAGGUAGAACAGUUCGUCCGACUCGACGAGCAUCUCUGCCUCUCCCAGCACUUCAAACUCGUCACAAGCAACACAAUCUUGGGAUCCUCCACGAAGAUGAUUCCACCGAUGUUUCCCUAAAUGCUCCUCGAAUAGAUAAAAUAGCCGAAUUCCCAUUAGCAUCCUCUGAAGACCCCUUCAUCUCUUUUCCGAAGCCUGUGCCGUCUCGCAGAUUCUCUUCUGUGAUGCCAAGGUGCGCUGCUGACCGUUCAGUCACAAAGGACAAGUGCAUGGUUCAGAUCUUCUCCCGCACUGGAGGGGCGGUGAACACAAGUGGCAGUUCCUCUGAUCACGAACAGACAGCUGCAGCAGACGAUUCAAUCUUGGAGUCAUCGGAGCCAAGGCGGCGGGAGCAGCAGAGGUUCGACACCUCAUCGUACCAGCAGCGCGCAGACGCUCUGGAAGGGCUACUGGAGGUGAGUGCCAACUUAUUGCAGCAGGAGAGAUUCGAGGAGUUGGGGAUAUUGCUGAAGCCGUUUGGCCCUGAAAAAGUUUCUCCAAGGGAGACGGCUAUUUGGCUGACGAAGAGCUUCAAAGAGACGAGACUUUGACAAGCAUAUCUUUUUUAGCCAAUUUGAUGAUGUUCAGAAACCAAAAAUUAGUUGGACGUAUUAUAGUGGCGGUGAGAAUUUUUGCCCUGUUUCAUCAGGUUUGUGAUGUGAACUUUCUGUAGAAAGGUUCGCUAAUAAUUGAUUUGUUGUCUAGAUAUGGGAUAAAAAAAAAAAAGAAAAAAAAAAUUGAAACAGUGCUUACGAAAUACCAACCAAGCAUGAGCAAAUUCUCAUCAAGCCAACAUAUAAUCUCCAACGGUCAACCCCAAGUCCCCAAAUCGACGGCCUACUCCCACACUCAUCACUCAAUCCCGACUCCCGAGUCCCCCAACACUCUCUCCCCGAUCCAAAACCCCUUCCUCCUCCUCCUCUCCUCUCGUUCUACCUCGUCUCCACCACCAAACCCUAAUCCCCAUGGCCACCUUAUCCCUCCUCCUCCUGCCCCCCUCCCCCUCCUCCUCCUCCUCCUACUCCACCUCCCUCCGCCGCCUCGCCCUCUCCCUCCCUCCGCCGCUCCGCCCCCGCCGCGCCUGCGCCGCCGCGGCCCCUCGGAUCCUUGCGCAAUCCGUGCCCUCCGCUCUCACGCAGGACGACCUCAAGAAGCUCGCCGCGGAGAAGGCCGUGGAGUACGUGAGCAGCGGCAUGGUCCUCGGCCUCGGCACCGGCUCCACCGCCGCCUUCGUCGUCGCCGAGAUCGGUGCCCUCCUCGCCUCCGGUAAGCUCUCCGACAUCGUCGGCGUCCCCACCUCCAAGCGCACCUUCGAGCUGGCCCAGUCGCUCGGCAUCCCCCUCUCCACCCUCGACGACCACCCCCACAUCAAUCUCGCCAUCGAUGGCGCCGAUGAGGUCAUAGAGACUCUCUCUCUGUCUCUAACUCUCCCUCUACCCCUAGAUUGAAUGGAGUUUGAGAUCAUUAAUGAUUGCUUAUACUUCAAACACUUUGCUAUUGCUCUAUAGGUAAAAAUGCAAGGAACUUACACAUAUACUAUAGCCUGUUUUGGUCCAACUACCCAACCUUCGAAAGGUUUGAUUUUAGAGUCUAGACCUUUCGAGCACUUCAAUUGUUUUAAGGGAAAUUAGCCAUGACAUACUCGAAUCAUUCUUUUCCAGAUAAACGGUGCACCCAAAUUCUGAAUCAGAAAUGCUCUUCAAUGGCUCGAAUCAAAUGAAUAAAAGGUCAAACCUUAGUUUAGUUUUAUACAUUUUCAGCUUCUCUAUGAUUGGUAGCAAGAAGCUCCCUUUUAUACAGGUGAAGAGAGAAAGAUCUGAUGUUAAGUUCUCAAUACUUUCGGAGUGGAGUUCUUAUUUCGAGAGUUAGAUGAAUAUGUUAUAAAUCAUGGUAAAAUCAGAAAAUGCGGCCGAUCUUCUUUACAAGGGAAAGAGCAUAUAUCUAUGUUGAUGAGAGAGAUAAAUUCUUGACGAACAUGAUCUUGUUGCGGCACAUCUGUAGAUUUCUUAGCGAACAUGGAACAUCCCUGUAGGGCUUGUUUUGCCCAAUCGAAGUUUCUGCUGUAAUGUUGUUUAAGUAGAGUUGGUCUAAGAAGCCCUGACGAAGUUUGCAGUAAUAUCCCCUCAAUAAACUCUUGCUGCUGCUAAUUUUGGGUCAUAAUGGCCUUAUUAAAUAAUUUGACCAAAAAUAAAAUGUUUAUCAGCUGGUUUUUCCCUGUAGAGAUUUCCAAUUGGAAUCUAAACGGCUGGUGAACUUUCUCGACUUCCCCAUCCCCCCCCUCCUGAGGGGGUGUUAAUCUAGCGUUGCUUGGUGAAUGUACCACAAGCAGGCAGAUGGAUAAUUUCUUAUAUCUUACUAUUUUUCUUCUGGUAGGUUUUGUGAUUCGCUAGUUUACGAACAACUAGUUUCAAGUUUUGACUGCAUUUUAUGCACUGUCUUAGCCAUGUUUUUUUUUCCUUCCUACCAAUUUGUAGAUGACUCCAUUACAAUGUCAAAUAUGCAAGAAUUUGCUUUAGAAUUUAGAUACUAGAUGAUUCUUGUGGAUUGUAUGAAAGAACAUUUCUUCGGGGACAUAUGACAAAAUAUUUGGAAGUCAAUAAUAUGUCGCUGUUCUCUUUUGUUGCGUCCUGCUACUGUAUGUACGACGAGUCUAUUUGCUUGCAUUUGAGCUUCAAUAUGGGAUUUAAAACAGGUGGAUCCAAAUAUUAACCUAGUUAAAGGGCGCGGAGGGGCUCUUCUUCGGGAAAAGAUGGUUGAGGCUGCUUCAGACAAAUUCAUCGUGGUUGUCGAUGAAACAAAGCUCGUAACCGGCUUAGGCGGAAGCGGACUCGCAAUGCCGGUGGAAGUCGUGCAGUUCUGUUGGAAGUAUAACCUAAGAAGAUUGCAAGAAUUGUUCAAAGAAGAAGGGUGUGAAGCAAAGCUUAGGCUGGACGGCGAUGGGAAACCUUAUAUCACGGAUAAUUCAAACUAUAUUGUAGAUUUGUACUUCAAGACUCCAAUUAAGGAUGCACUAGGCGCUGGAAAGGAGAUCUCGGCGUUUGAAGGGGUUGUAGAGCAUGGGUUGUUUUUGGAUAUGGCGAGUACAGUAAUUAUUGCAAGGAAGGAUGGGGUGAGUGUGAAGUCAAGGUUAAUUAAUGUGGAGGCUGCAUGAUUGAUGUUGCGUAAAAUAAGGUGUGUUUUCAUUUAGUUUUUCAGUUUGUCCCCCAACAGAGGGUUGUAUUAUUGCAUUCGAAAUAAUAAACAAGGGGACUACCAUGUUUAAAGUGACCACCUCUUUUCUCACUGUUAUGUUAUCUCCUGCCUCGAGUUCUCUGUUGUUUUCAACAAUUUAGAUAGUAAGCAAGUUGUAGAUUAUAUCAUUUAUGAUUCAAGAUUUCCACCUAGAUUUAGCAUUUCUUUUUGUUUGAUUUAUGCUGUUGUCUAUGUUUGCUACUCCUGAGUUUGGAUGAUUAGUUACGAGAAAUUCAUGCCUGUAGAGUUUUUGUAUUAAAUUAGUAGUAUAAUUUUAAGCUCCUUUAUUUCUUGAAAGUGAAUUUAAUUUCUUAGAAGACUUAUUACUCCAAGUUUAGACUCUCAAAAGUCGGAUUCAGUAUAAUAUAAACUCCGAAUUUAGUCAAAAUCCAAGAAAACCCAGCUCACCAACUGGCUAGAUCAGAUCUUAUGGUUAGUUUGUAUUUCACUAGACUUUGACCUAAAACACUAGCAACAUUUUAUGAGAAAUUUUGACUAGGUAUUAGACAACUUCGAUUCCAAAAGAUAUAAUUAUCCCAUAUACUUUCUGCAACUACUGAUGCACAGAUAACCCGUAAAUACAUUUCCGUUUUCUUGGGCUUCGUUACUUGUCAACAACACAUUAUAGUGAAUUAGAUGAAAUAGCAUAGUUACCUUCUUGCAAUCUGCUUUGAAUAGUCAUGCAAGGCCACUAUUGCAAUGAAUUAGUUCAAGUAGCAUCUUUAUCUUCUUGAGAUCUGCUUUGAUCAUGUCAUAAAAGGUUAAAGUUACAAUGGAUCAGUUUUAUUAUUAUAUCUAUAAAUUGACAGUAAUUUAUUCCAAAUUAAAGAAUAAGCAGCAGAUCUUACCCCAUAGGUAAAAGGCUGAGGCCGUAGUAGCAGCAGCGACGAGAUUCGACUAGUUUAUGACAACAUCAUCAAAUUCCAAAUUACAUUUUCAUGUCAAUCUCUGUACACUCUGGAUGGUAAGCACCCCCAGCAAAAAAUUCAUGUACAACUCCAUUCAACUCAAUCCAACUACAACCAGGAACUUUUUCAACGCCUUCUCUCUUCAUCAGAUUUCUCAUCUUUUUGACACCAUCCCACAUGGAUUCUUUUGCAUACACAUUAGACAUUAAUACAUAUGCUCCACAAUGAGUCGGAUCAUCCCCAAUUAGCUUUCUUGUCACAUACUCAGCAAGUUCAAUAUGUCCAUGAAGAUUACAAGCACCAAGUAGAGCUCCCCAAAUGGCCUUUCGAUUUGCAGAAAAGUCCAUUGAUUCUAUAAAAUGUUUAGCUUCGUUCAAGAGGCCGCAUCGGCCAAAGAGAUCCACCAUACAACUAUAAUGUUCGGUUGUCGGAUGAAUUCCAUACUUUCGAGUCAUCAAAUCGAAGUAGUGCUUACCUUCUUCUACUAAACCUCCAUGGCUACAAGCGGCUAAAACACCAAUGAAUGUAACAGCAUCAGGAUGAAUACCAUUCCCUUCCAUGUCUUUGAAGUGUUCUAGAGCUAGUUUACUUCUUCCAUGCAUGGCAAGCCCACUGAUAAUAGUAGUCCAUGCCAACAAAUCCUUCACAUGCAUUCUGUUGAACACUUCGAGAGCAAGAUCUAUGCAUCCACACUUUGCAUACAUUUCCACAAGAGAAGAGCCUAAUUGCGCAUCCAUUUCUAUUUUGUUUCUCUCAAUGUAAGCAUGAAUCCACCUGCCUAAUUCAAGAGCGCCAACUUUUGCACAUGCAGUCAAUGUGCUAACGAGUGUUAAUUGAUUAGGGCUCACCUUCAUCCUCUGCAUCUCUUCAAAGAUACCCAAAGUUUCACUGAAGUAACCAGAUUUGGUUAACGCACUAAUCAUUGCAUUCCAGGCAGCUAUAUCCUUGUAUGGCAUUUGUUUGAAGGUGUCAAGUGCAGUCGCCACAGCGCCGUGCUUUACAUGUCCCACCACCAUCAAAGUCCUAGAGAUCUCACUCUUUAUAACCAAUUUGUUGAAUAAUGAUUCAGCUGAGUUCAUGUCACCACAACUUGUGUAGAGUCCAAGAAUAGAAUGAAGCAAAUCAAGAGAUUUGUCCAUCUCCGCCUUACAAAUGUAUCCAUGGAUUACUUUGCCUAUGCUUACGUAACCCAAUCGUGCAGAAGCCGAUACAACGCUUAUCAUGGUGGCCUUGUCGGGUUUUACAUCAAGAGCCUGCCGAAGCCAAAAUGUGGUAAGAUAAUGCAUGUUUCUACUUACACCACCAAUUUAAUAACAAAACGAUGACCGAAUCACUAACAUCUACGCAUCGAACAGGGUGGGUGAGAGAAGUUACCAGCAUCUCAUUAUAAAGCAACAUUGCUGCUUCGAAGCAUCCAUUGGAAACAUAUCCGCUAAGCAUGGCGUUCCAAGCCACCACAUUCCGAUGAGGCAUUUUAUCAAACACCUCGCGGGCAGUUUCUAUACGGCGUACGGCGGCAUAUCCAGCGAGCAAUGUGGUCCAUGUCACCACAUCGCGUUCGAUCAUCCGACGGAAUAACCUCUCUGCUUCCUCCAUCACCCCCAUCUUAGCAUACAUGUUCACCAAAGCAUUUCCCAGAUUCAAUCCCAAGCUCACUCCUUUCUCACGGAUAUACCGGAGAACCUUCGUGCCCAGCUCAAAGUCCCUCGAUUUAGUGCACGCCGCGACCACCCUCACAAGCGUCACCGAAUUGGGCGCAGCACGAAACUCCCCAACCAUCGUCCUAAACAAAGAUUUCACCUUUUCCCACAAACCCAACUCGGCGUACCCCCCAAUAACGCAGCUCCAGGACACAGCACUCCUCUCAGGCAUUUUCUCGAACAGGAGAUGCGCGUCGCCGGAGCGUCCGCAUCCGAAGUACAAACCGAUCAGCGCAUUUUGCACGUACGAAUCCGAGGCCACUCCGAGCUUAACGGCGAUUCCGUGGACCUGGGCUCCUUCGGAAAAAGCCGGGAUCUUUGCGCAUGCUUUGAGAACGGUGGGGAAGAAGAAGAAGAAGGAGCCACAGCGAGGGUUAAGGGAGAGUGGGCCGUGUUCUACCAACCUCUUGAAGAGGAGAAUGGCGCGUUCGGGCUCGCUUUGGUCCCAAUUGCGAACGGCCUUGUAGCUGUGGGUGGUAGCUGUGCUGCUGCGAAAUGUAGAGUAGUGUUAAUGGCGAGAGAGAGAGAGAGAGAGAGAGAGAGAGAGAGAGUACCAGGAAUUGUUGAUGGCGCCCCCGCGCGAUUUCGAAGAGAAGGGUGAAGUGGUGGUUGGAUGGAGAGGUUGUAUACACGCCAUCCCAAGCCAACUCUAUACGGCACUGAGUUGGAUUUGCUUUUUAGAGAGAGAAUUUUAGGCCAAACUAUGAAAGGCACUUAAAAAAUAAAUAAAUAAACCUUGUAUGUUCCAAAAUUGAUUUCAUCGUAUUAAUCUUACCACACUUAGAUCAUUGGAUGGGGAGGUGUAAAAUUAGAAGCGCAAUAACACUAGCUACUGGAAUUUCCAGUAAAAAAUUGUGUAGGAAGGAUUUUCAAAUUAUUUAUUGGCUAAAUUAUAGAAAAUUUUCUAUCAAAAUUUGAUUUUUUAUUUUUCUUCCAUGUCAUUUAAAAAUCUAUACUUUGCCCUCUUGUAAAAUAAAAAAUGUUCACGGGGUAUGGUGUGAACUAUAAUAAUAAAAUGAUCAUUUUGCCCCUCACCAUUUUGCCUCUUAUUAUGUUCACAGAAGAGAAGGCUAAAAAUAUUUUUGGUAUAAAAAAAUAUAAUAAUAUUUUAUAAACGAAUCCUAACGGAUUACUAAUGGUAGGGGACGAAGUAAACAUUUUUUAUUUUACAAGAGGGCAAAGUGUAGGUUUUUAAAUGACAGGGUUGGAAAGUGAAAACUCGAGUUUCGACAGGAAAUUUUAUGUAAUUUAACCUUAUUUAUUUAAGAAUGUGAAAUCUACCGUCAAUAGGUAUUGGAUUCCGUUUCUUGAGGCGACUUGGUAAGGUGAUUGAAAUUUAUUUUUCUUCGACUAUUAGCGGAUUCAAAAUAUUUUUGGAAAAACUUCAAAAACCCCGCGUAGUUUCUCAUUUUAGCCUCCUGUGGUUUAAAAUGUAUCAAAUUGUCCCCUUGUUGUUUCGUUUUUAUCUUUUCGGUAGCUUUUUCGUUAAUAUUUUAUUAAAUUAUAUACAAAAAAACUUCAGAUACCUAUCUAGAUUUAUCAAAUAUUCACUUUACUACCUUUUAAUUUUAACUUUAUCACUGAUUUAAGAAAAAAAAAUAAUAAAAUUGAUAAGAAAAAGAGAAAAAAGAAAUCACAGGGGGGCAAAUUGAUACAUUUUAAACCCCCGGGGGGCAAAGUGAGAAACUACGAAAUCACAGUGGGGNGUUUGAAGUUUUCCUAAUAUUUUUUAGACUAGUUAACUUAGAAAUAAUAAAAUAUCUUUCACCCUAGGGGGAACCCUUUUGGUGUUUUUAGUAAAAAUAGAAAACAUAAAAUAUUAACUCGAAGGAAACGGUAAUGUAUUUACGGGUUAUCAACUUAUCUGUGCAUCAGUAGUGGCAGAAAGUGUAUGGGAUAAUUAUAUCUUUUGGAAUAGAAGUUGUCUAAUAUCUAGUCAAAAUUUAUCAUAAAAUGUUGCUAGUGUUUUAGGUCAGAGUCUUGUGAAAUACAAACUAACCUAAAAUCUGAUCUAGCCAGUUGGUGAGCUGGGUUUUCUUGGAUUUUGACUAAAUUCGGAGCUUCUAUUAUACUGAAUCCGACUUUUGAGAGUUUAAACUUGGAGUAAUAACAUUCUUCUAAGAAAAUAAACUCACUUUCAGGAAAUAAAGAAGCUUAAUUUAUACUACUCAUUUAAUAUAAAAACUCCACAUGCAUUAAUUUCUGGUGACUUUUAUACAAACUCAGGAAUAGCAAAUACGCCAAACAAAAAUAAAUGCGAAGUUCAUCUAGACAGAAAUUUUGAAUCAAUAUAAAUGAUAUAAUCUAAAACUUGGUUACUCACUAAAUUGACGAAAACAACAGGGAACUUGAGGCAGAAGACAAUGUAACAGUGAAAAAAGGUGGUCACUUUAAACAUGGUAGUCCCCUUGUUUAUUAUUUCGAAUGCAAUAAUACAACCCUCUAUUGGGGGACAAAUUGAAAAACUGAAUGAAAAUACACCUUAUUUUACGCAACAUCAAUCAUGCAGCCUCCACACUAAUUAACCUUGACUUCACACUCACCCCAUCCUUCCCUGCAAUAAUUACUGUACUCGCCAUAUCCAAAAACAACCCAUGCUCUACAACCCCUUCAAACGCCGAGAUCUCCUUUCCAGCGCCUAGUGCAUCCUUAAUUGGAGUCUUGAAGUACAAAUCUACAAUAUAGUUUGAAUUAUCCGUGAUAUAAGGUUUCCCAUCGCCGUCCAGCCUAAGCUUUGCUUCACACCCUUCUUCUUUGAACAAUUCUUGCAAUCUUCUUAGGUUAUACUUCCAACAGAACUGCACGACUUCCACCGGCAUUGCGAGUCCGCUUCCGCCUAAGCCGGUUACGAGCUUUGUUUCAUCGACAACCACGAUGAAUUUGUCUGAAGCAGCCUCAACCAUCUUCUCCCGAAGAAGAGCCCCUCCGCGCCCUUUAACUAGGUUAAUAUUUGGAUCCACCUGUUUUAAAUCCCAUAUUGAAGCUCAAAUGCAAGCAAAUAGACUCGUCGUACAUACAGUAGCAGGACGCAACAAAAGAGAACAGUGACAUAUUAUUGACUUCCAAAUAUUUUGUCAUAUGUCCCCGAAGAAAUGUUCUUUCAUACAAUCCACAAGAAUCAUCUAGUAUCUAAAUUCUAAAGCAAAUUCUUGCAUAUUUAACAUUGUAAUGGAGUCAUCUACAAAUUGGUAGGAAGGAAAAAAAAACAUGGCUAAGACAGUACAUAAAAUGCAGUCAAAACUUGAAACUAGUUGUUCGUAAACUAGCGAAUCACAAAACCUACCAGAAGAAAAAUAGUAAGAUAUAAGAAAUUAUCCAUCUGCCUGCUUGUGGUACAUUCACCAAGCAACGGUAGAUUAACACCCCCUCAGGAGGGGGGGGAUGGGGAAGUCGAGAAAGUUCACCAGCUGUUUAGAUUCCAAUUGGAAAUCUCUACAGGGAAAAACCAGCUGAUAAACAUUUUAUUUUUGGUCAAAUUCUUUAAUAAGGCCAUUAUGACCCAAAAUUAGCAGCAGCAAGAGUUUAUUGAGGGGAUAUUACUGCAAACUUUGUCAGGGCUUCUUAGACCAACUCCACUUAAACAACAUUACAGCAGAAACUUUGAUUGGGCAAAACAAGCUCUACAGGGAUGUUCCAUGUUCGCUAAGAAAUCUACAGAUGUGCAGCAACAAGAUCAUGUUCGUCAAGAAUUUAUCUCUCUCAUCAACAUAGAUAUAUGCUCUUUCCCUUGUAAAGAAGAUCGGCCGCAUUUUCUGAUUUUACCAUGAUUUAUAACAUAUUCAUCUAACUCUCGAAAUAAGAACUCCACUCCGAAAGUAUUGAGAACUUAACAUCAGAUCUUUCUCUCUUCACCUGUAUAAAAGGGAGCUUCUUGCUACCAAUCAUAGAGAAGCUGAAAAUGUAUAAAACUAAACUAAGGUUUGACCUUUUAUUCAUUUGAUUCGAGCCAUUGAAGAGCAUUUCUGAUUCAGAAUUUGGGUGCACCGUUUAUCUGGAAAAGAAUGAUUCGAGUAUGUCAUGGCUAAUUUCCCUUAAAACAAUUGAAGUGCUCGAAAGGUCUAGACUCUAAAAUCAAACCUUUCGAAGGUUGGGUAGUUGGACCAAAACAGGCUAUAGUAUAUGUGUAAGUUCCUUGCAUUUUUACCUAUAGAGCAAUAGCAAAGUGUUUGAAGUAUAAGCAAUCAUUAAUGAUCUCAAACUCCAUUCAAUCUAGGGGUAGAGGGAGAGUUAGAGACAGAGAGAGAGUCUCUAUGACCUCAUCGGCGCCAUCGAUGGCGAGAUUGAUGUGGGGGUGGUCGUCGAGGGUGGAGAGGGGGAUGCCGAGCGACUGGGCCUGCUCGAAGGUGCGCUUGGAGGUGGGGACGCCGACGAUGUCGGAGAGCUUACCGGAGGCGAGGAGGGCACCGAUCUCGGCGACGACGAAGGCGGCGGUGGAGCCGGUGCCGAGGCCGAGGACCAUGCCGCUGCUCACGUACUCCACGGCCUUCUCCGCGGCGAGCUUCUUGAGGUCGUCCUGCGUGAGAGCGGAGGGCACGGAUUGCGCAAGGAUCCGAGGGGCCGCGGCGGCGCAGGCGCGGCGGGGGCGGAGCGGCGGAGGGAGGGAGAGGGCGAGGCGGCGGAGGGAGGUGGAGUAGCAGGAGGAGGAGGAGGGGGAGGGGGGCAGGAGGAGGAGGGAUAAGGUGGCCAUGGGGAUUAGGGUUUGGUGGUGGAGACGAGGUAGAACGAGAGGAGAGGAGGAGGAAGAAGGGGUUUUGGAUCGGGGAGAGAUGGUUGGGACUCGGUAUUGAGUGGUGACUGGUGAGUGUGGGGGUUGGUGGUGAGAGGUGAGAGCCGUAUGAGAUGCGGGCCUUUUCAAGGAGUUGGCGGGUACUGUUUUACAAUUUUUUCUUUUAUUUUUCAUUAUUAUUUUUUUAAGGUAAACAGUAUUAGAGGCCUCAUUAACUACGGGUUAUUCUUCAGGUUCAAAUUCCAUUUCUGCUAAAAAUAAAAUAGAGAAUACAGUUAAGUUUUCAUCACUAAUCUUAAAUUCUUUUUUAUGAAUGAGUUAUUUAGAUUUUAAACUAUGACUUAGUGUGAUAUUGAGGCCUAUCCGACGCUAUUAGAUAAAAUAAGAUUAGAAUAAAAAUAUAUAGGGAUAUACUUACUCCGUUCUCUGAUGGAAUCGCAGAAAAUAUAUUAUAAUCGACUCAUUGCGAUAUGCGAAACACAGACAAAAUAUUUUUCAUUAUGUUUUCUCACUUCAAGUAACACAAUUUUUCCGCAAUACUAAACAAAGCCUAUUAAUUUAUGACUAGCCAACUAAUUAUUUGGAUCGAGACCUUAAAAAUCAAAUAAGUAAAACACAUGGAAGAUAAUUGAAGUUUACCUGAAAUUUUUUUUUCUAACGUCUUAUGUAAGACAGCAAUAAUUCAGCGGGCCUAGUGCAUUUAUUUCCUUUUAAUACACAAAACAAAAAGGAAAAAAAAAAAACAAAUAGUUUCUAAAUUAAACUCGUCAACCGAAAACACAGAAGCCGGCAGAAUCUAAAAAGACGGUGUUGAACGAAUUCGGAAUUCGUUGCCGACUACUUAUUUAUACUCCACCACCAACAUAUGCGGCGACGACUUCGAUUCGGCUCCGAUCCCCUUUAAAUACGCCCUCCGCAUUCUCACUCUCGGCCCCCGCACCUAAACGCUACGAACGAGCCCCAGAGAGAGACUCUAGCGCUCCUCUCCCCUCUCCUCCCCCUUCACCCUUCUCCUUUUUCCCAUCCUCAUCGUUUCUCUCCUUCGCCCAUGGCGUCGCCCGCCUCCUCCACGAUCCAACGAGGCCAGGUACGUCCUCUCCCACGAUCAAAACCCUAACCCUAGAUCCCCUUCCCUCGCCCUGAUCGUUCCCUUUUUUAGGUCGAUCUCGUCGACUUCGUCGAUUGGAGCGGCGUCGAGUGCCUCAACCAGAGCACCAGCCACUCCGUUGCCAAUGCCUUGAAGCAGGUGAUCGCCAUCGCCAUCGCCCGAUCUUACCCCUCUUUCCUUGUUUCUUGAUCCGUUCUUUUUUGAGUUCCUUUUUUCUUUUUGAUCUCUUCGAUGUUAGGGUUAUAGGGAGGAUGAUGGGCUUCAUCUCGAGAGCGAGGCCGAUGAGCAGCUUUUGAUAUAUAUACCGUUCACUCAAGUGAUCAAGUUGCACUCGGUUGUCAUCAAGGGCCCCGAAGAGGAAGGUAAUGGUGUUUAAUUUUUGGAAUUCUUGUUUGCUUCUGUGCGCUGAUUCUACUUUGAAUGCUUUGAUCGUUUCUUGCUGCACGAUGAUUGGGUUUGUGGUAUCACUCGCAAAUAUUAGGCUGUUGUAUUAUGUAAUGUAUAAGGAUCACCGGUACAAGUAAUUAUUUAUUUGUUUAUUUAAUUUUCUUAAGCCAUUCGCGUUUUUAGGUAUUUAGAUAUAUGCCUUGUGCAUGUGCUGCCUUGCAUUGCAUUAUUGAGCUUUUGAUCUUUUCUACUUUCUGUUGCAUCUUUUUUGCUUCUUGAUUGCUUUAUCUGCAUGCUGUCAAAUUAGUUCAAGUCUAUUUAUGACCUCAAUAUGUUAUUUGGCAGGUCCAAGGACGGCUAAACUUUUUGCAAACAAAGAGCAUAUGGGCUUUAGGUAUGCUAUAUCUUAGAUUCAAGAGAUUCAAUUCACAAAAUUAGAACUCUUGAAGUUUUGGUUGUUUUGAGUACUGAUCGUUUAUUGACCAUGUAACAACUGUUGCAGUGAUGUCAAUGAUUAUCCGUCUAAUGACACAGUUGUUUUAUCCCCUGAGAAUUUGAAGGUAUUGUCAUCCUUCUAACUUCUUGAAAUUAAAAUUGAUCUUUGGCCUUUGCAACUUUUUGGAUGAAAAUUAUUGUUAUUAUUAUUCCAUUAUUAAUAUCUUUGUUGGGUUUAGGAAAGAUAGGGGUUGCCUCUGGGUGAAUAGUAGUUGAAUUUUGUCUUGAAACAUAAUAAUAGAUUGCUUAGUUGCAACUUCAUUUCAUUUGCAGGGGAAGCCUGUACCUGUGAAGUAUGUCAAAUUUCAAAAUGUUCAUAGGUAAGUUGAGUAUACAUUCUCCCCUUUUAAUUUUUUAGUAUGUGAUUGCAUUGCAUAAGUUGGUUAUUAAUUUGUUGGACUAAUCAUAUUAUAUCAGCUUGACAAUUUUUAUCGAGGACAACCAAGGCGGUGGCGACAUCUCUAAAGUUCAGAAAAUUGCCCUCUAUGGAACAACGUGAGUGUUAAUUGAUUAAUUUCUUAUCCUUUCAUUCUUCUGUAGCUUCUCUUCUUUAAAUUGAUCCACCGUCUCUAUUAAGCAUUUAAUCUCUACCAAACAGCAAAGAGUUGAAAGGUAUUUUAUAUGCAUCUCACUCAAAAAUUGCUAUAAAGUUGGAGAAUCUAACAUAAAUAAGAGUAUUAAUCUGGUCAUUCUUGAAAUCUCUAUGCUAUGACUGUAGUUCUUGGUAGCAUCUUUAAUUUUUGGUUUGACAUUUCUUGUUCAAGUAUUUCGACACAAUCAAGGGAACAUUUUCUGAAGAAAAGAAGCGUUUUUUUUGUGGCUAGUGUAUAUUCUUAGUCAGAUAAAUAAAUGUGAUAUUUACUAGUUUAUACUUAUGAUCCAAUCUAUGUGUAAGCUAAAGUAACUUGCAGGCGGAUGUAUAUGAAAACCAUAAAGCAUUUGUUAAACAUGAUUAAAAAUUAUCCAGAGAAUUUAUUUGGGUUCAAAUCUUACAUUCGAACUUACAGUGCAGCAGGCAAGAAAAUCUUUGCAAUCUAGAAUUUGGACAAUUUAGGUGGUGCAAUUUGAAACUAGAUAUAGAAAGGAACCAUAGAUUAGUCUUUUGAAGGUGUAAAACAGUUCAAGGUGAAUUUAAAGAUGCUUAAAUUCUUAGUUUUGUGUGAUAAUGCUUCUCUAGUGAAAUUCUUGCACUUACCUGUGGAUAAGACAAUUGGAAUUAUUAGUCUAAAAAAGAUAUAAUAUUAUAGUUCAAUAUCAAUUUUUUCUUAGAUUUUUUUUAAUUAUCCUCAUCAAAUCUUUCAUAGUUCACUGAUAGGAAAAGUGAUGGUUUAUCAUCAAUAAUUUAACUCUUAUAAAUAGCGAAUUUAUGUAAAUAUGGCACUGCACAACUCAUUAAUGAUGACUUGUCAUUUCUUUUGCUAAUGAAAUACUGAAGAUGUGAUGUGAACGUAUUGUUCACUCAUAGCUCAAGAGGAAAUAUGUGAAGUACUAGUAUCUAUGAAUUAUAACUAAGAGCAAUAUUCAUCACUUAGAAAUGAUUGAGUUAAUACAUUUUUCCAUAUCUUCUUAAUGGAAGAAAUGAGAAUUUAUCAUUAAUUAUUUACAAGAUGACUUACUCAGAUUAACUCUUAAAAAUACACAAUUAAUAUGAGUAUGGCAUUUUAUAAUAUGUCAGUCAUGAAUUGUCAUUCGCCUUAUUAAUGAAAUAUGAAAGAUGUGAUGUGAACGUGGUAUUUACUGACUCCUUAGUAAUGAAAUUAAACGUCCAUAGUACUACUUAUUCUCAUAAGGCUUCGUAUAUUUUAAAUAAUUUUCAAUACAUUUUAAUUAACCAACAAAAAUAAAAGAUAAAUGCACUAAUGAAAGAAGCCCAAAGGGAAACUGCAUGGCAUCAUCCAGAUGCCCUUCAUUAUAUCUUCUUGAAUUCCUUAUAACAGAUACAUUGCUGAUCAAAGUUGCCGAUUAUAGCUUAUAUCUAGGGCUGUUUAGAUUUGGUUUGUAUAAACUAUUUCUAUUAUAGUAUGGAAGUUCCAUACUUGGCUGGCCUGAUGACUCUUUGUAUUUUUUUCACUUGAGAAGGAAAAAAAAAAAAAGAAAAAAAAUUCUAUCUUCUUGAACUCCUUAUAACAAAUACAUUGCUGAACAGAGUUGCUGAUUAUAGCUAUAUCUAGGGCUGUGUAGAUUUGGUUUGUAUAAAGCUAUUGUUAUCAUGAAUUUCGCUUUUUGCAUUAUUGCAAUCUCCCAAAAAUUGUCACAAAUUGUUCAGCUUAUUUACUAAACAAACUCAAAAUUGUUCUAAUUUGGCACAAUCUGGGGAAUAUAAUCAUCUAAGUCAAUCUAUAAGCUGUGCAUCUCGUUGCAUGCGCUUGGUAGGCAUUGUGAUUUCAACCAAUGCUCACAACGGUCCCUUUGCUAUAAUCUGGAUUUUUAUUUGACUUUUGUCAUUGGUUUCAAAUCAUAAUGUAGAUCCUGAGGACUCUUACUUUCUUUUGUCUAAAUGAGAAAGAAAUCGGGUUUGCUAAACUUUUGUAGAUCAAUUGACUGACCUAGGUAUGACAGACCGUUAUUCUGUGUGAGAUUCUUUGGCUUCUCUGCUUUAGAAAUAGCACCAACAUUCUUUACUCAAGCUUUAUUUGCUAAUAAUUAAGUCAAAUAUUUGUUGGUGAUCACAGACAUAAGCAAGGAUUUUUUUCAAUUGUAAAUUACAGCAUUGGUCACUGACAUUUGGUGAGAUUUUAUUUAGGUUACCGAACUUUAAUUUGUUUUAAUCAGGAUAUCGAGCUUCAAUUUCAGUUUUGAUUGUCAUUACUCAAAUUUCUAAUUAAUUUCUAUGAUGGCGUUCCACUAUGGCAGCUAAUUUAGUCGUCAAGCUAGUGGUCCUCUGAUUGCUUUUUAGUGCUUAUUGUUUUAGUAUAUUCUAAUAAAGUAGUUUUCCUCAAUUUUCAGCUGAGUACAUGAGUGAUACCAAAGUAAUUAAAAUUAUGAUCCAACACCUCCGAUAUAAAUGUUAUCCACUCUAAUGCAUGUGGAUCAGGGAAAUUGUUUUUUCUGUUAAUCACAAACUGUAGAAGUGGAGCUGUCAUUUAUAAGUUGAAGAGGUAGGACUAAAUGAUGUGAGCCCUUCAAACGAAAUAAUAGAACUAGCUUAUGAUGUGUAGCAGACUGAAAAUUAUGCGGUGCUAACCUUACUUGCUUAGAGUCUGUCUGUGAUUCAAAACCUGAUGUUUAUUUGCAAUGGAGUAUACUUUAUGAUUCAUGAAAAGUGAAAUCCUUAGCCUUUUUAACAAGUCAAUUAGUUAAUUUUAUGUCUCCUGCUAUCACACCACAACAAUCUACAAGAAAAAUUUCCUGUACGUGGUCCCAGUGUAGUUUCUCAGGAUGCCACCCGAGAUAUUGCUAGACUCCACUAAUUUUGUUAGGAUAGUAUCUCCUUGGAGAGAAAUAACUAAAUUACUUGAAGGAAAAAUAACCCAACUAUUUAAUUAUGCUCUACCAACUAUUUAAUUAUGCUCUUUUGUGUUAUUUGGUUAUUUUUGUAAGGAAAAUGCAUCCUGUUCUUAGUGUUGUUCCUGAUAAGAUAUCUGUUUACUACAUUUUGGGUGUAUUUACUUUACGUCAGCUUAUGCUGAUUAAUACACUUUGGUUGGCAAAUAUGUUUAAUGUAUUACCAUGUCAUUCAUAAUACUGGUGAUGAUCUUUGAGACGAGAUACUAUUUUGGAAGUACUGGAGGUGCCAUUGAUUUGUCAUAACUUGCCCGGUCUUCAUGCUGUUGUUAUGUCAUCUUGACAUUAUAAUUGUCUUAUGCAUACUUCUAUUCGUUGGUGAUACUAUUUUGGAAGUUCUGUGAUAUGUAUCACUUUAGUUUCUUGAUAUUUAUGUUGUAGCAAUGGGUAAAUAUACAUGUUUGGUCCUCCUAUGGGGCACAUCACAUUUUGGUCCUCAAACUUUACCUAGUUGCAAUUUUUAAGUUUGAACUUCUGUAAAUUGUUGCAAUUAAGUCCUACAACUCAAUCUAUUUGGUUAAACAUUGAUGAAUGGUUGAUGUACAAGUGAUGUAGCAGUUUAGUUAUUAUCACAUCAUUAAUCAUAACACUGCUAUAUUAUUUUCUCCUUAGCGAUAUAUCAAUAUUUAGCCAACUAAAUUGGGUUAUAGAACUUAAUUAUAAUAAUUUAAAAAAUUUGAGCAAGAAAUUAUAACAAAUUAAAGUUUAAAGAUCAAAAUAUCAUGUGUCUUCUAAUUUGAGGACCAAAAGUGUUAUUUACUCUAUAGCAAUUUAUUUAGCUAGUUAAGUAGGAGUGUAGGACUUUUUUUUCCGCAUCUUUGAUAGGAUUUUUUUUUUUGACUCCUUCGAAGGAAAGCCCGUAGGCUAUCUAAGAUGGGACAUCACUUGUAGAUGGCCAUUAGUCUUCAAUAUCUUUGUACAGUUGUGAAAUCUUUAGUUAAUGGUCCAGCCUUUUUUUUCGCAGCAUUUGAAGUCUUUCCUUCCAGUCUUACCUCCCAGUUUUUGCCUCUUUGGCUCGGCUUCCAGUUUUGCAUUUAAUUAUAGUCAUCUAUAGAGGGUCCAUCUAUGGUGCUCAUAAGAGGGCCUGAAUAGUGCGUAUUUUAGACUUUUUACCAUUUAGAUCAGAAUAUUAUUCCAUCUACCCUCACUGCAUUCUAAAGCAUUGUAGACUAAAAAUGUUGUGAGAACACACUAUUCAUGUCGUCACAAAAGUAUAGCAGCAUUGUCAUAUAUAUAUAUAUAUAUAGAGAGAGAGAGAGAGAGAGAGAGAGAGAGAGAGAGAGAGAGUGCCUCGGCUAUUAUACUUUUAUGCAUACAAUCACUUUUGUACUCUUAAGUCAUUUUCAAUGGUAGAUUUUUCGAAUCUAUGAUCCACAUUGUUAAACAUAAUUUGAAAACACGUAAACAUUCUAAAAAUUGAAUUUCAUAAUUGUUGGACGUCAGAUUCCUUAUGAUCAAAAGUCCUCAAAAUUGAUAAUUUUAACGGUCGAUAUGGGACGUUUUCUAGUUUAAUUGUGUGGAAAAAUUGGAAUUGGUUGAAUUUUUAAUUAAAAAUUAUAGUCAUUAUUUAAUCAAGAUCAAUAACUUCGAUCUUGAAUUGAAGAACUCAACUCUAUUUUGAGGAGGUCAUUUCAUUUUCACCGUUAAUUUAUACCUAUUUGAUUGUCUAUUAUGAUUUUGAAAAAUUACAAAAUUUGGUUUCUAAGCAUUCAAAUACUCUAAAUUAUAUUUAACGGUAUGGAUCGUUAGUUCGAAAGAUCAAUUAUCGAAAAUAACUUAUGAGUGUGAAAACUUUCGCACUCAUAAGAGUAUAUUAAUAUUCCUCUCUUUCUCUCUCUCUAUAAUUAUAUAUAUGUGUGUGUGUAGAGUUGAGUUGGAAUAUUAUUAGUAGCAAACAUGUUUCGUUGCCACCCAUUUGUUUUCGAUGAUGGAGCUUCGGAAUCGACGAUCGGCACCGCUCAAUAUGAUCUAUACCACUUGAAGCAUCUAGAAAUCAAAUUUCAUAUUUUUUCAAUAUUAUUCUCUUGUUCAUCAAGUGAACACAAAAUUGAAUGGCUGAAAAUAAAUAUUUGUUAAAAAUUGAUGAUAUGAGUCUUGUAAGUAAGAUUAAGAGUAUAAAUCUUAUUUUAAAUAGUUUAAAGAAUUUUUUUAUCAAAAUUCAAUUGAUUUGGAUAUCUUUACGUUGUUAAACGAGAAAGCGUCUCAUAUUGACUAUUAAAAUUAUAAAUUUUGAAACUCUUUGGUCAUUAGGCCAACGAUGUCAAAAAGAUUUGAACUUUAGUUUCUAGAUACUUCAAAUGGUAUAGAUUAUGUUCAACGAUACUGAUCGUCGAUUUGGAGACUCCAUCAUCGAAAACAAAUGGAUGACAAUGGUGUUCGUUUGCUACUAAUAACAUUUUAGCUCAACUAUAUAUAUAUAUAUAGAGAGAGAGAGAGAGAGUUCGACUACUAUACUAUCGAUAACACCAAGUAUUUGGUGCUAUCAAGUUUUCCGCCGUCAGAUCUAUCCCUUUGACCAUUUUCACAUGGUAGAUCAUACUAUCCAACAAACCACCCAUUUAACCCCAGUGAACUAUUAUAAUCCUAACCAGACAUCCCUUCCUUCAAGAGUUGAGAAUCUAAUAGUGCCAAUGACUUGGUGCUAUUAAUAGUAUAGUAGCCUAGUUUUCUCUUUAUAUAUAGAACUAGUCACCAAGUUAAUGGUGCUAUUAGAUUUUCGGCCAUUGGAGGAAGGGAUGUACGGUUAGGAUGAUAGUAGUCCUCUAGAGUUGAGUGGAAAGUUGAAUAGUAUGAUUUAACUGGUGGAAAUGGUCAAAGGGGUAGAUUUAAUGGUGGAAAACUCGAUAGUACCAAGCGCUUGGUACUAUCGAUAGUAUAGUAGCCGAAAUAUAUAUAUAUAUAUAUAUAUUAAAUAUAUUAUAUAUUAUAUAUAUAUAUAGAGAAGAGAGAGCGGAGAGAGAGAGGGAGGUAGGAGGGAGAGAGUGAGAAUGAGUGAGAGAGAUGGCUGAGAGGAGAGGAGAGUCGGGGGGAGGGAGAAGCUUUGUUAUUUUUUAUGAUAAAUCUUUUAAAUCGACUAUCUGUACCAUUGAGCAUGAUCAACACCAUUUAAAGUAUCUAGAAAUCGAAUCUCAUUCUUUUACGAUAUUAUUCUUUUGUACAUCAAGUGAAAAUAAAAAAUUGAAUGGUUGAAAAUGUGUAUCCUUCAAAAAGUGAUAAUAGAAUUCUUAUCUUCAAUAUCAAGGGUUUAAAUAGCUAUGGAUUCUGCUGCAGUACUUUGCUUUUUCUAGCAAAAAUUUAAUUGCUUUGGAUUCUACUGCAGUACUUUGCUUUUUCUAAAUAUACUAUUUAAAUAGCACUUUGUCGAACAUUAUUAUAUACUAUAUGCUUCAACAAGGGCUUGUUUGUUUGGAUGGAAGUGGAGAGUGGUGAAGCCGUUUUCGGCCGUAAAUAGUCACUUCAACUGUUUGAUUUGCUGUAAUAAAGAUACAGUCGAAAUUCGAAAUAUUUAAAACAUCGUAGUUGACUUCGGCCUAUUCUGAGCCGAAGUCAAUUACAGUUAAAAGAGGUAAAGAAAAAAUAUAAUAAAAUAAUAUAAUGGGUAGUACUAGUUAUAUUUAAAUAUAUUUGAUUGUGGUACUAAUUAUUUUUUUAUUUAGUUUAAAAAUUGAUUAGUUUAGUAUUAAUAUUUUUUUACUCUAUGAUUUUGUUGUAUUAUUAUAAUUUAUCUAUAUAAAUAAUAAUUUAGUUGUUUUAGACUAUGUUUUCUAUUUAUAUAGUGUGGUCAUAAACUAGUAAGAGCUAGAUCACAUAGACCUAGAAGAAUGACAUAUCCUCCCACUGAUCCCGUGAUGUGAGGAACAUUGUUCCUGUCAUAGCAGUCGUCAUCAUUUCUCUCUCUCUGUCUCUCUCUCUCUCUCAGAGAUAAGACUUGAAAUGAUAAGUCCCUGCUCAAAUUGCUUCCAUCUGAAUAAAUAAAUACCAGAGCUUUGACCUGCACAUUCUCACCUGCAUUGCUUAUCUUGUCCUACUUGCAGGGUGGACACGACAAACAUGAAGGAUCUCAAGAAGAUAGAGGAGCACUAACUCGCCCUAACCAUCCCGUAUCCGACCAUAUUUCAUGUGUACAAGAAGAGGAGGGUUUGGAUCUGGUAAGUUACAUGACCAGUGUAAACCAAUAGACCGAUACAAUACAACAUGUUUACUUGCAUAAGAUUAUCAAUUAAAAUUCUGUUGUCACACUAUGCUCGUUGUACUGCUUUACUAUUUAAUCGACUCCAAUUUUUGUUGAGGUUUAGCACACGGUUACAUCAUUUAUUUUAAUUAUUUUGUUUUGCGGGUCACGAUUUUACGCAAUGGUGUGGGGGCUACUCUUAAUACUAAUUGGAUUCCUCCAUUAUUAUGAUGUGAUCUCCUCUACUACUACUACUGUAGUAGUACUACGACCCCUAUAACAACUACUAAUACUAUUAGCUUUUUCUCCCUUUUUCUGGCUCUUUUUUAUCGAAGGACACCUCCUCAGCUUUGCUUUGCCUUUCUCGGAUUUUGCAACGGCCCUUUGUUCCCUCCUCCAGUGAAAAAGGGCUGUUGAACGGCACGGUUCUGUACCAUAAGACUGCUAGUUGUCUUUAAAAGAUAUAUAAAAUCCCCAUAUAAAUUCCCUCACCUUUGUUUUCCCACUCCCUGCUCCUCUUUUUUUUCCCCUGUUAUUUAGCAUCUUUUGUAGACUUUGGAUCUAGAGCUUUAGUUGUGAAAACUAGUUAGUUUGGUCUCUUCUGAUAUUAGUUUAGAUUUAGGAUAAUAGCAACUUAGUUGGUGGAUUAAUUUUGUAGGGUAAAUGGGUCCAUAAUAACAUGCAUGGUGUAUUUGAUGUGUACUGAAAUGGUAUGCUGGGCCAUGUAGGAAUUAAUAUUUGCUAGCCCACUAGACACACCAGCUAUGUUUGAUGGCCACAAGCCUCCUGUAUUAAAUAAGGGGGAUGGGUGCACACAUGUGCAGGGUUUUGUGUUUGUGGUGUGAUUUGGUGGUGGUGGUGGUGGUGGUGGCCCCUACAAAAUAGGAUCUGGAUGCUCUUAAUUCAUCUCCGUGUGGCUAUAUUUUUGUUUGAUCUUUAAAGCUAUCUGCGUGUGGUCUCUCUAUUGUAGGUUGGAGUGUGUUUGUCUCUUUUAAUAAGUUGGCAAUUACAGCUGUCUUUGCUCUGCAUUAUGAUGUAUUGGCUCUUUUGCUAACUUAAAGAUGAUAAUCCUGUUGCACCUGUCAUCCUCGUAUAAUUCGAAUGUAGAGCAUUAACAUGGUAUGUGUACACCGACAGAGACUUUGACGCACAAUACAAAUGAAAUGAUCGAUUGUUAACAAUCAACCUCCCACAACACCACAAGUUAGGCUACGGUAACAGUAGUGGAUCUAUAGUUUUGCUGUAAUGGCUACUGUAAUACCAGGUAACAGUAGUGGAUCUAUAGUUUUGCUGUAAUGUCUACUGUAAUACCAGUGGACAAUUGGUACCGCCAUUCUAUCAGUACUAGAAUGAACAGCUAACUAAAUUCUAUGGUCCUAGAGUUGUCCCCCUCCGCAACCUAUUUACCUCAUUGUAACUAGCUUUUGACGGGAUCCCAAAAUUGAUAAUUCCUGGUCAUGCCAUGCUCGUGAUUCUCAACAGUACUGUUUUGAAGAGACCCUGAAUAGUUCUAAAUCAUUGUGUGAAGUAAGAUUUCUAUCUCUCUCUCUCUCUCUCACUCAGUCGUUCUAUGGGGUUUGUUAGGGGCUUUGUUGUAUAGUUUAGCGUUGUCAGAUAAAGUUUUGUGCAUGCAGUGCCACUAGCGUAACCAUUGUAUUAGUAGUUUCUAGCAAUUUAUUUCGCUUUGGUCUUGUUUAGCGUCGGCGCUGGUUUUUACUCAUUUUACAUAAUUUAAUAUAUUGAUGGAAAAAAUCCUCUCUUUUUUUUUGUCAUAAUUAGUUAGCUUGUAAUACACUGGCAAAAUGAUGGAUGAUAGUUUAUUUAAAAAAUAUUUUUAAAUUUUUAUUUUUUUCUUGUUAAAUAAAUACUUUGGAUGUAUGGAUUAUAAUUAAUACAUCAUACUUUUCUACACUAUUUUAUAUAUAAUAUAAAGACUUUAUUGGAAAAAAAAAAAAAGAAAAACGGUAAUAAUACCAAACUCGGCACUCUGCUUUUAUGGCUUAAAUUUUGUUUUUCUUCUUCCUCGUCUUCUUUGUUGCACCAUAAGCGUAAACAAAAGAAAAGCGUAAUUUGUAUAUUUAUAUUUUAUAAAUCUUAGUGUUCACAAAAUUUUUUAAUCUUCGAGUGAAAAAGGGAAAAAAAAAAGAAGAAAAAAGACAGGUCAAAAAUAAGAAUCCUUAGAUUAAUAGUGUGUAAUAUAUAUAUAGAGUUGAGCUAGAAUACUCUCGAUAGUAAACGGAGUAUUUUACUAUCGAGUUGUUUUCGAUGAUAGAGCUUUCAAAUUGACGAUCGGCUCCGUUAAAUAUGAUCUAAAUCAUUUAAACUACCUAGAAAUCAAAUUUUACGCACUUUCGAUAUUGUUCUUUUAUCCAUCUAGUGAACAGAAAAUGAAUGGUUGAAAAUGAAUAUUCUUUAAAAAAUGAUGAUAGGAGUCUUGUAAUCAAGAUCAAGAGUAUAGAUCUUGUUUUAAAUAGUUUAAAGAAUUUUCUAACAAAAAUACAAUGAUUUGGAUAUCUUAUACACCGUUUAAACGAAAAAACGUCUCUUAUCCACCAUUAAAUAUUACAAUUUGAAACCCUUUGAUCAUUAGCACAAAUGAUGCGAAAAGAUUUGAAAUUUGAUUUCUAAACACUUUAAGUGGUAUAGAUCAUGUUCAACGGAGCCGAUCGUCAAUUGGAAGCUCUAUCAUCGAAAACAGCUCGAUAGUAAAAUGCCCCGUUACUAUAGAGAGUAUUCUAGCUCAACUCUAUAUAUAUAUAUAUAUAUAUAUAUAUAUAUAUAUAUAUUAUAUAUAUAUAUAUAUAUAUCAUUAAGGCCCCGUUUGGUUUGGGGAGAGUUAUCCCCGCUUUUCCGCCAAACGGGCGUGAAAUUUGGUCGGAAUAUUUUAUCCCCGUCAAACCUUGCUAUUUUCGAUUAUUCCGGAAUAGCCAGGGAUUUGCUAUUCCACCAUUUUGGUGGAAUAGAACUAUUCCAAUGCUUAAUUUCAAAUUUAAUAAAAAUUAUAAAUUGAAUUAAAACUAAAUUAUAUAAAUAUAGUAUGUUAUAUAUUAUAAUACAUUAUUUUUGUUAUAAAUUAUUAAUUGUACUAUAUUAAUACAUAUUAUUUAUAUUAAAUAUUAUAAUAAAAUUUAUAUAAUAAUUAUAUUUAAAUAUUAUAAUAAAUUCUUUUUAUUAAAUUUAAGUUUAAAUAGAAUUUUAAAAAUUUAUAAAUUAUUAUAAUAAAUAGUUUUUUAUUAAUUGUUCCCAUCCUAUUCUUAUUUAAAAAUUUAAAAAUUAAAAUUAAAAUUUUAAAAUUUAUAUAUAUAAUAACAUUAUUUUAUUAUAAAAUUAUUAAUGUACUAUAUUAAUAAUUAUUAUUAUAUUUAAAUUAUUAUAAUAAAAUUUAUAGUAAAUUAUAUUUAAAUAUUAUAAUAAAUCUUUUUAUUAAAUUUAAGUUUAAGUAGAAUUUUAAAAAAUUUACAAAUUUAUUAUAAUAAAUUAUUUUUAUUAAUUGUUCCACCCCUAUUCUUAUUUUAAAAUUUUAAAAUUUAAAAUUUUAAAAUUUAUAAUUUAUAAUCUCAAAAAUAAAGUUUAUAAUUUUAAAUUUUAAAUUUUUAUAUUUAAAUUUGAAAUUUAAAAUUUGAUAUUUUAUAUUUUUCAAAUUUAAAUUUGAUAUUAAAUUUAAAGUUUGAAAUUUAAAAUUUAAAAUUUUGAAUUUAAAAUUUGAGAUUUUAAAUUUCAAAUUUGAAAAUUUAAAAGUUAAAAUUUUAAACUUAAAAAUAUAUAUUUAAAAAUUUAAAUUUAAAUAUAAUAAGAGGAUAAUAUGAUUAUUUUUUAUUUAUAAAACCCAUUAUCUUUCUUAUUCCAUCUUACGUAACCAAACGCUAUUUUUUUUAUUCCCAGGAAUAAACUAAUUUUUAUUCAAACGCAAAAUUGAUCUAAUCCCCGCUUAUACCUUAAUUUAUACUUAUUUUUAGAAUAGUCAUUUUUUGCUUAUCCUCGAACCAAAUGAUACAUAAGUUUAGAAAUGCCCGGCUUAAAAAAAAAAAAAGGAAAAAAAAAAAAAGACUCUGAAUAGUGCGCGAUGGGAAUCGUACUAGGGGCAAGGACAACUGUGAACUCUUUUCUUUACUCCUUUUUUAUUUAUCCUCUCUUGUUUUUUUACUCCCCUUUCUUUCUUUCUUGCUUUCUUUCUUUCUUUUCCGUGCAUGUUGAUUUGGUGGAAAUCGAGGCGGUUUGUAGGGGAUCCGAGGCCGCAGCUUUCUUCGGCAUAGGGUGCAGGAUUCGAUUGUCGGUUGGCCACACACGUAGCGGUUCGUUUUACCAUCCUCACACUUUUAUCGUGGCAUCUGCUUUUCUUUUUUUUUUUCUUUUUUUUCUUUUUUUUUUUUGGAUAAACUUCAAAUACCAUCCGAUUUCGCAUUUUCUUAUUUCAGUACUCUAUAAUUUAAAGUAUAUCAAAUUAGUGUGCUAUAAUUUUAUUUUUAUCUUUUUUUCAACUUUUUCAUUAAUAUUUUGUUAAAUUAUAUACAAAAAAAUUUCAGAUACCAUAUCUAGAUUUAUCAAAUAUUCACUUUAGUACCCUUUAGUUUUAACUUUGUCACUGAUUUAACGGAAAAAAUUAAUAAAAUCGAUAAUAAAAAAAUAAAAAUAAAGUUACAGGAUGCUAAAUUGAUACAUUUUAAAUCAUAUGGUACUAAAGCGAGAAAGUAUGAAACCACAUGGGUGGUAUGUAUUUAUUUAUUUAUUUUUUACCUUCUUCGGAGGCAGUAAGUAAAUCUAUUUUACCAGUCCCCCAUUCAUGGGAAAAAGCAAGCAACCAAAGAAAAAAAAACAAAAAAAAAGGUGUUUUCACUUUUCACUUCAUAUAAAUAUAUUAUUAUUUAAAAAAAAUUAUUUUGAUCUUAUCAUUCUACCAAACAAUUUAAUUAAAGCCUCCUAUCUCAGCAUGAUGCAGACUAUUGCAGAAUAAUGUGGGCACAAGGAAAAAGUCAUGUAUUUAUGAUGAUUUCUUUUGUUGCUGUUCAUUUCCCAUUUAACCUGUAAAUCACUAUAUCUGAUGUAAAGAACCAAAAGUGGGUUAAAAAUUUUUUUUUUUAAAAAAAGAGAUACUUUUGAUGUACUGGGAUAUGAAUCUUUCCAACCAUUAAAUGACUAUUGCAAAAAAAAAUAAAUAAAUAAAUAAAUAAAAGAGGAAAAUGGCAAAUGGGUUAAAUCCUUUACGUAAUUGUUACAUUCUAUUAAACUUGCACUUUCUUUUAUAUAUCUGAACCACAAUCUCUUUUAUGUUCUCCUCUUUUCGUAUCUUCUCAUUAGAAAUCUCAGCGGUUGGUCGACCGCAUAUUUUUAUUUUUUAAUAAAAAGGUUAUUCCUCUCAUAGUAGGUCAACAACCAAAUUUGAUCUUCACACUCUUUCGAACCAACUGUAAGGAUAAUCAUCUGCAAGAAUGUUUGGAGUUAGGUGUGUGAGGUUGAGACUUGGAUUAAUCAUCUCAUAAUCUCCCUCCCUCACCACCACCACCACCACCAUCAACAUAUCAACUUUUGUCUUCAUCAUCAGUAUGUUAUCGGGUCAGUGGAACAACUUAGGAUAUAUAGCAAGAAUUUAAGUGCCAUGUCAUGGAGUCAUACCGGAAACUUACAAGCACGGCACAGCACGAUGCAUGCCGAGUCGUGCCGAUGCGUGUCGGUCAAAAAAAUUCUUAUGUGCCGACACAUAAUAACAUAAAAUAUUUAUUUUCGUUGCAACAAAAUAUUCACUAUUUAUUAUGUCUUUUUAUCACAUCUUUUGAAUUUUAUUGAGAAAAUUACUUAACUAAUUUAAAGAAUAGGGAAUUUUGAGUUGUGCAAUCGGCACGAAAUCUGUAUCGUGCUGCUAUCUUAUUUGCACGAUACGGCGCGAUAGAUACGGCCCGUGCCGACGGUCACUUAAAACCUUGAUAUAUAGAUUAGUUGCUUUUCCAAAGGAUUGCUAACCUAAGGUUGUUAACCUGCAGAGUAAACUGUUACUAAUUGGUGUUAAGCAACUGCCUAAUAAGCUUUGACAGAGUGAACUUUCCUAUCUUUACUACUUUAGUGUUGGUGCCAUCAAAAUCAAACCAAAAAGUAAUCAGAGGGGUGUGUCAACUGUUGAGUUGGUGGAGUCAUUGGGAGUUGAUUGCUUGAGUAAUUUAGGUACACUAUGAUGAGUCUCACCUAAGAUAUGACCAAAGUGCAUCAGAUUUAUUAGAAGGAAAUAUCAUGCAAGUUUUGUAAGGUUAUUUCUGCUUCACACUUAAUAUAAAAAUAUUUAGGAUUAAUUUUAUAUAGGUCCCUGCAAAUAUAGUAAAUUACAAAUAUAUCCCUACAAAGUUGUAAGUCCCGAUGUUUUCAAAUAUGUUCCUACCGUUAGAAUUCGUCAAAAAAAUUUAGUUAACCAUAGGUUAAAUACUUAAUCUUGGUUAGUUAGUGAGGUGAAUUGACUUUUUUAUCCUUCUUCAGUUAACAAUUGGAAUUUUUGGAAGGAUAUAUUUGUGAUGGCAAAAAGAUCAUUUCAUUUAUAAAAUAGACAUUAUGUCAACGAUAACAAACUAGAGGAACAUAUUUGAAAAUAUUAUGAAAUUUGCAGGAAUAACAUAUGAAAGUUGAACUUUAUAGAGAUAUAUUUACAAUUCUCUAUAUUUUCAGGAAUCUAUAUGAAAUUAACCGAAAUAUUUAUGAGGAAAAAAUUACUGCUAAUAGUGGAA